This 709-nucleotide ribosomal RNA is filed under the name uncultured archaeon. RNAcentral's name for it is "bacterial SSU rRNA". It matches the Rfam family "Archaeal small subunit ribosomal RNA", at positions 187 to 903 of the family's 1478-position model. The record is from RNAcentral.
GAAAGGUAACGGUAUAGGAUGGGACUACAUCUUAUCAGCCUGUUGGGGGUGUAACGUACUCCCAAAGCUAUAACGGGUACGUGCCAUGAGAGUGGAAGCCCGGAGAUGGAUUCUGAGACAUGAAUCCAGGUCCUACGGGACGCAGCAGUUACGAAACCUUCGCAAUGCUCUAGCGAGCGACGAGGGAACUUGGAGUGUUCAUGCUAUGCAUGAACUUUUGUCCAUUGCAAACAGGUGGGCGAAUAAGGGGUGGGCAAUACGAGUGCCAGCCGCCGCGGUAAUACUCGAGCCCCGAGUGGUAUCCGUUAUUAGUGGGUCUAAAGCGUCCGUAGCCGGUUUGGUAAGUUCCUAGUGAAAUUCUUUGGCAAACUGAAGAGCUUGCUGGGAAUACUAUCAGACUUGGGACUGGGAGAGGGUAGAGGUACUCCCGGGGGAGGGGUAAAAUCCUAUAAUCCUGGGGGGACCACCUGUGGCGAAGGCUUCUACCUAGAACAGGUUCGACGGUGAGGGACGAAACCUAGGGGAGCGAGCGGGAUUAGAUACCCCGGUAGUCCUAGGCGUAAACGAUGCCCGUUUGGUGUUGCUAACCUUUCGAGGGUUUGCAGUGCCGGAGUGUAGAUGUUAAACGGGCCACCUGGGGAGUACGACCGCAAGGUUGAAACUUAAGGGAAUUGGCGGGGGAGCACACAAGGGGUGGAGGCUGCGGUUC